RNAcentral lists this ribosomal RNA (1385 nucleotides) under metagenome. RNAcentral's name for it is "bacterial SSU rRNA". It matches the Rfam family "Bacterial small subunit ribosomal RNA". The record is from RNAcentral.
AGAGUUUGAUCCUGGCUCAGGAUGAACGCUGGCGGCGUGCUUAACACAUGCAAGUCGAACGAACCUUCGGGUUAGUGGCGGACGGGUGAGUAACGCGUGGGAAUCUGCCCUCAGGAGGGGGAUAACGGCUGGAAACGGCCGCUAAUACCCCAUAUGCCGAGAGGUGAAAAGAAAUUCGCCUGAGGAUGAGCCCGCGUCUGAUUAGCUAGUUGGUGGGGUAAGAGCUCACCAAGGCGACGAUCAGUAGCUGGUCUGAGAGGAUGAUCAGCCACACUGGGACUGAGACACGGCCCAGACUCCUACGGGAGGCAGCAGUGUGGAAUUUUCCGCAAUGGGCGAAAGCCUGACGGAGCAACGCCGCGUGAGGGAUGAAGGCCUCUGGGCUGUAAACCUCUUUUCUCAAGGAAGAAGACAUGACGGUACUUGAGGAAUAAGCCACGGCUAAUUCCGUGCCAGCAGCCGCGGUAAUACGGGAGUGGCAAGCGUUAUCCGGAAUUAUUGGGCGUAAAGCGUCCGCAGGCGGCCCUGUAAGUCUGUCGUUAAAGCGUGGAGCUUAACUCCAUUUAAGCGAUGGAAACUACAGGGCUUGAGUGUGGUAGGGGCAGAGGGAAUUCCCGGUGUAGCGGUGAAAUGCGUAGAUAUCGGGAAGAACACCAGUGGCGAAGGCGCUCUGCUGGGCCAUAACUGACGCUCAUGGACGAAAGCCAGGGGAGCGAAAGGGAUUAGAUACCCCUGUAGUCCUGGCCGUAAACGAUGAACACUAGGUGUCGGGGGAAUCGACCCCCUCGGUGUCGUAGCCAACGCGUUAAGUGUUCCGCCUGGGGAGUACGCACGCAAGUGUGAAACUCAAAGGAAUUGACGGGGGCCCGCACAAGCGGUGGAGUAUGUGGUUUAAUUCGAUGCAACGCGAAGAACCUUACCAGGGUUUGACAUCCUGCGAAUCCCUUGGAAACGAGGGAGUGCCUUCGGGAGCGCAGAGACAGGUGGUGCAUGGCUGUCGUCAGCUCGUGUCGUGAGAUGUUGGGUUAAGUCCCGCAACGAGCGCAACCCACGUCUUUAGUUGCCAGCAUUCAGUUGGGCACUCUAGAGAGACCGCCGGUGAUAAACCGGAGGAAGGUGUGGAUGACGUCAAGUCAUCAUGCCCCUUACAUCCUGGGCUACACACGUACUACAAUGCUACGGACAAAGGGCAGCAAGCUCGCGAGAGUUAGCAAAUCCCAUAAACCGUGGCUCAGUUCAGAUCGUAGGCUGCAACUCGCCUACGUGAAGGAGGAAUCGCUAGUAAUCGCAGGUCAGCAUACUGCGGUGAAUACGUUCCCGGGCCUUGUACACACCGCCCGUCACACCAUGGAAGUUGGCCAUGCCCGAAGUCGUUACUCCAACCC